AACCAUUUUAAUCUUUCUUUCUUGAUUUUUGAAGAAAUCAAGAAUUUUUCUUGAUUCGUUAACUAAUCAAGAAGAGCAACAACUAAGAAGUGGUUGUAACUAACUUCCAACAAACUUGAGAGGAAAGAGAAGAAACCAAAAAACUAGUUGGCGCCAACACUUGACUCUAGCCCUUAUUAUUGCCCACCCUUCUUUUGGCUCCAAGGAAGGAUGCCUAGGGAGAGAGAGGGUGUGAGCUAAAGAGAGAAAG
RNAcentral lists this long non-coding RNA (250 nucleotides) under Elaeis guineensis (African oil palm). RNAcentral's name for it is "long non-coding RNA (EGUI_LNC074901)". The record is from RNAcentral. Lineage: Eukaryota; Viridiplantae; Streptophyta; Magnoliopsida; Arecales; Arecaceae.